RNAcentral lists this ribosomal RNA (253 nucleotides) under uncultured bacterium. RNAcentral describes it as "partial 16S ribosomal RNA". It matches the Rfam family "Bacterial small subunit ribosomal RNA", at positions 524 to 776 of the family's 1533-position model. The record is from RNAcentral.
UACGUAGGGGGCAAGCGUUGUCCGGAUUCAUUGGGCGUAAAGAGCGUGUAGGCGGCCAGGUAGGUCGGUUGUGAAAACUGGAGGCUCAACCUUCAGAGGUCGACCGAAACCAUCUGGCUAGAGUCCGGGAGAGGAGAGUGGAAUUCCUGGUGUAGCGGUGAAAUGCGCAGAUAUCAGGAAGAACACCCGUGGCGAAAGCGGCUCUCUGGAACGGUACUGACGCUGAGGAGCGAAAGCGUGGGGAGCGAAUAGG